CACCGAACAAGUAAAGCUGUGCUGAAAAGAACAGUGGCCAAGAGAGGGAUAUUCUUAUACCACACACAGUCAUGCAGAUGGAAGUCUGGCCAACAAAACCAUAAAGCAUCACGUCUCACUGUGAGUCAAUCUGUCAGCUCAAGUACAAGGUGACUCAGGAAAAGACUCGUUCUGUUUUCUGGUUGUGCUCGGAUGUCUCCAGCAUUUGAUGACCCCUGGAAAUACAUGGGACCUUUACUUUGGAUCUGUGAUGCUCUGCAUCUUUAUGGGCAACAGACUGAUACUAAAAUUAUUCUGUAACCAAGGGCAAAUAAUAGGGAAUCCUAUUUGCAAUCAAAAGUUUGGGACAAAAAUGCUUGACCCAAAUAAAUAGACUCACGAUGGACUCAUCAGAAAUAUUUAGAGGUGGAGGAGAGCAAUGUCAUCAUUGUCAGGCUGUGGAGCAACAAUUUCUGCUGGCAACAGAGGAAAAUGGGACAGUAGAGCCCAUGCCUCCAACCAUCGAUUGCCCUUUAGAUAUCACAGGACCUGUUUCUCUUACCAUGGGAUCUCUGGCUUUACAACACUGGUGUCAUAGUGCCAAGAAUGUCGGUGUAAUGCGAAGCUGAAGUAUUCCUGGAUCCCUAGACUGCAGAGAGGAGAAAGCAACAGCAUCAUCUGUUAAAGGGACUGCCAACCACAUCAAUAUAUUCUGCUGAAAUCAAGCUCAUAUCACUUUCCUACUGUGUAAAAUUUUCUACACUGUAGCGGCUUCCAACAGCAAACUUUUUAUUGCUUUCAGUUGUUUGGUUAGAUAUUUAAAGGUUUAUGUUGAUGGCAAUGGCCUACUUCUAUUUUGUGUGUUCAUUUGGUAUGGUUUGACUGGGCUCAAAGGGCAGAGAUGGUCUCCUUGUUAUUAUCUGGGGUAUUGUUGUCAUACUGAGACACUUUAUAUAUCUUCAAUAUGCCUCUUUUCUCUAUAAGGUAGCCCAUUCACUGUAACCUUUCUUAUUCUGACCUCUUUAUAUGGGAGCUGGAUUACAAGAACCAGUACAGAUAGAUGGCUGGAAAUUUACAUUUGCAAUAGUCUUCUGAUGAAAGCAAGUCAUAAAACCAGUCCAGUUCAAAAGAUGGAUAAUAGCCUCAACUUCCUGAUGGGAGGAGCUGUAGAUAGAUUUCAAAGAAACAUGGCCAAAGGGAGGAAUGACUUAUGGUCCGUGUUUAACAGUCUAGAACAAUAUCCUGCUCAGCUUCCUCUUAGCUUGAUCCAGCCGUGUCUACAAUUACUGCGAUGCCAGCUGACAUCAGAGGUGUUAUAACCAGAGUAAAGCAGCCUUAACAGUGACACAUAACACACAUCUGUAUUUGAAAUGAUAUGCUUAAAAUGAUCAUGCAGCUUUAUUUUAGACUUGGUUAAGAACUUAGGAAAGAUCUUAUGUAAGAGUACUUGAGGCUUAAGUCUCAUGAGCAUAUAUGUUCACGUGUAUCUAGGUACUAAUAUCCCAACAUCUUAGUCACUCCAGGAUUCAAUGGUCCUCUUUGUCUCUUACCUAACCCAUACCAACUUGGUAUUUAGGACUGUUGAUUCAACCUCUAAGAAUAUAUUGGAAGUUCAUCAAUUUGUCGAGCACUAACAUGUUAAUCUAAGAUACCAGCCUCUCUUGUUUGGGCUGUUACAACAUAAUCCUUUCUGAUUGCCCUAAUAUGCUUUUUCCCUCUUAACAUUUACAGAGUAGUCAUAUGUGUGCCAGCCCUGCUGUGUCCAGAAGGCAUUGAUUACUUGAGGUCUUCCAGUUCCUCUGGCUCUUACACUCUUUCUGCUCCCUCUCCUAUAGAACCAUAGAGUUCCUUAAGCCCUGAAGGGAGGGAUUUGAUGGAAAUGUUCUAUUUAGGGCUGAGUGUUACAAAGACUCUACUGCCUGCAUAUUGUCUGGCUAUGGGUCUCGGU
This is a non-coding RNA of Peromyscus maniculatus bairdii (prairie deer mouse), 1927 nucleotides long. Lineage: Eukaryota; Metazoa; Chordata; Mammalia; Rodentia; Cricetidae. The record is from RefSeq and is a predicted model, not a curated record.